This 1911-nucleotide ribosomal RNA is filed under the name Triticum aestivum (bread wheat). Its description in RNAcentral is "partial small subunit ribosomal RNA". The record is from RNAcentral. Lineage: Eukaryota; Viridiplantae; Streptophyta; Magnoliopsida; Poales; Poaceae.
GGGUCUAAGUGGGGAAGAGGAGCAACGAAAGUCGGCCGAACGGGAGGAGGGAGGGGUCAGAGGGGAGCAGCGGUUGGGGCGGUGGCGGCGGCGUCAACGGCUUUGGGCGGCGGGUCAGGCGGUGGGGCUCUCUUCCUCCAAGAGAGGAAGUAGCGGGGAGGCAGGAGAGGAGGCGGCCCGAGCGCCCCUCGCUUCUAGGCGGGCCUGUGCCGAGGAGAACGACUAAAGCCCCCAACAAGAGAACGGCGCCGCUCAAAACUCCUACUACUCGAUUCUUCCAUAUCGAGCACGUUCGGCGGCGGGGAAACAACAAAGACUAUUUGGCGACUCGUCCGCUCUCAGAACGAACUCCACCAUCACUCUCUACCUACGUCACAGGCUCCAACGCCUACGGUACCCACGUAACCCGCAACUGUUACCCCGCUCGGUCUUUAAAGACGGGUUUCUGUCAGGUCUGUCGCUUCUCAACCGGCUACACCGCGAAAGACCGCUCUCACUCCACUAGUUAGGUGGACUUCUCCACCCACCCCUUCGGUGGAGCGGUAGCCUCCUGUAUUUUAGCGUUGGCCUCCUGUAUGUCCGGUCCCAAGGGUUCCCUUCGGUCUCGGCAAGGGGAUUCCAAUGGUUUAGUGUCGCGGUCUCGGGCGCCUCGCCGCUAUUCUCAGUUCGAUUCUUUUUGUGAGGCUCAAGAAACAGGUGCUUCCGUGGAUAACGUGCUCAAAGACUAGGUCUAAAUCAACUAUCGAGAAGUUCGUUACCACUACGACUACAAUUCUUUUUCCGCCUCUUCUCGUUAAGAGCUGGUCAACGAUUCCUCUCGAACAGCGACCUCCUAAGUUUCCUCUUCUCCUUUUGAGUCUUUCGUAGAUUGGUUGCACAACAUUUUUUACUACUUCUUAGAUUAACACUUUCUCAUUUUGGAGUCUUCCAACCGUCGUGGGGAAGUAUACCCAAACGUAAGUUUACGUUACUCUCUCGACUUUUCUCUUCCCUCAAGAUGAGCUUCGAGCUCCUCUUCUAGGUACGUGUCCUUAACCUCUUUUUGUUGUACGUCCGUUUUAGUUUCCUUUACCUUCUUCGACUUGAGUCCGUCGAUGCCUUUUCAAACUUAAAGUUCCGUCGUGGCUACGGGUCGAAAAUAUUCCUUGGUGGUCGAGGGUUCUAACUCAACUUCUUCCAGGGAUGGUGGUCUGGAGCUAGUGGUUUCGAACCAGCGAGUUUCUUGUGUUGAAGUCGUCCGUGUCGUCAUUCAUGGUUAGGAAGUUCGGCAGGUCAAGCAGACUCGGAGCUGGUUUCCCGGAGGGUUUUGUCGGGGUUCCGUCGUGGACGAGGCUUCUUCAGGGUUGCCUUUAGAGAGGGGUUUAACGGCAGUCUCGUCUGUCCAAGACAACUGUAACGUUGAAGCUAUAGAAGACGUCUUGUCGAUCUUUAAUCGUUCAGUUGACGUUGACGUCUAGGGUAGGCCUGCGGUUAGGCACGAGUUCAAUGAGGUCUGCUGGUACACGAGUUGCGUAUCUUUUGUCAGAACUCAGGUCAGAAAGCCUUUCGACUCUCAGUACGGAGUCGGAGGGUACAGACGUAAAAACAGUAAACCCAUCAUUUGAACACCGACCAUAGUACACGAACUUAAUCACACUAGUGGACCUCAAACUUCGUACCGUUCGUCGGUUACAUGACAAAUAGAAGAGUCAAACACAACAAAAAGUUUGUCAUGUUCCCUCACCACAAUAAACAUCAAUCAUUGUAAACGUAUACUGAUGGAACAUAAAGGUUCGGCGCUCUGAAGAAAAAGGACGUACUCAAAAGGGAAAAGAAGAAAAUGACGUUUUAAACACGGUUAAAACGAUACUUGAACCACGUAAGUCACAUUAAAACACAAGACAAGGAUGUACCUUCUACCUAGACGAAGAC